Molecule: long non-coding RNA, 4180 nt
Filed under: Pan paniscus (pygmy chimpanzee)
Lineage: Eukaryota; Metazoa; Chordata; Mammalia; Primates; Hominidae
Description: lncRNA (ENSPPAG00000044266.1)
Source: RNAcentral
AUGUUUCUAGUCUUACUGGCAUCUGAGUCACAUCCAAAUCCCAGGCUCCGAUGUUCAGUCUUUGCUGAAUUCCUGACUUGCAGCUACCAGCUACAGUGCUUGGAAGUGAUGACCUCAGCAGGCCUGGCCUUUCACCUUUCUACCUCCAAAGAGCUUUUGAAGGGAAGUUAUUCCUCACUAUUGGGAGAAAGUUAUACUUUUCUGGUACAUGCACUCUUGGAACCUGAGCGACAAGGUAAGAAGUGUAAUCACUUUGCUGGAAAGACCACACAUGGAGGCCCUGAAAUACAUGGAGAUGGAAAGGGGCCCAGAUGAGUGCAAACUGCCAGCCAUCCCUUCCAAGGACCCAAGUAUGUGAGCAAAACCAUCUUGAGCCUUCCAGAUCAGUUCAGCUGUCAGGUGAGUACCACUGAGCAAUCCCAGUCAAUGCCCUUUCCAAAAGCAGAAGUGGAAGAACCAGCCAACUAAGCCCUAUCCAAAGUUCAGACCCAUAACAUCAUAAGAUGUAAUAAAAUGGUUGUGGCUUUAAGACAUCAAAUUUUAUGGUUAAUAACAUAACCAAAAUAUAGAGGGUGUGUGUAACUCUAUGAAGUGAGAUGAUAGCGUAGUAGCUACAAUGUACAGGUGCUAAAGAGGUAAUCAGAGCUUUGCCCUAUAGAUGAGGUUGUCUGAAUGUGGAAUGACCUGCAGAAUUAGCCUGCAGAGUUCAGCUCUGAGUCAUUCUGAUUUAAGGAGCUCACACAAAGCCUGGGAUCUGCCUAAAUUCUGCCUCCACGAUUUCAUGGUUCCUGUUGAGGCAGGUUCUUGAAAAAUCCAGACCCAAUCCCUGAUUUUUCCUGAACACUGUCACAUUGUCUCUGCUGGUAUGAAUUCCACAAGAUUUGAAGGUCAUGUUUAUACCACCGAAACAUCAAUGCUUGUUUAUCAUCAGCCACUGCAGUUCUGGUCAAUUUUUAUAUUUCAACAAUAUUCAAUAUAUGUGUAACGGAAGCUUUAAAACAAGCCUCAAAUGAUAAGCAACCCUCUCUCUGUUUUGUUUUGCCUAAAAAUUCUUAUCUGUCUUGGGUAUUCACCAGGUACCUUUUUGCCAUGAAGAGAAUUCUUGAAGAUUAAUCCUAAAUGUCCGCUGAAGAUGAAAAUGAUGGAGCAAGUAUUGUUAACGUGGGCCAAGAGAAAGCAGAUGAAAUUAAUAAUUGUUAGUUUUAAUUUAUUUAAUAAGUUCACAACAGGCCUCAUUCUUAUGCAUAGCAUAUUUGGUCUUUAGAUAUCUCUCUCACUUCUCAUCUGACUAUGGCCUAAUUUUAAAAUGUGUGUGCCUCAAAAUACCUGUAGAUUUCUAAUAUUUAUAAAGAUAUUACAUAAACAGCAGAGGAUAGCAGAGGAGAAAGCAGUUAGAAGAGGCCUGGCUGUUCUCACUCCUCAAUUCAUCACUGAUUCUUAUACUCUGUCUCGAAAUCUAAGCUCAGUCAGUUGUCAGAAUCUCAAGAAAGCCUUUUGUUCAUAUAAAUUAAACUUUUUCCAUUUCAUUUUACAAUGCAUGUAAGUUAUAGUUCCAUUUCAUGCCUAUUUUUUAAAAGAAGAUUCAAACAAGCUAUUAAUGGAUUUCUAACCUUUAAAAACACUCUGCUUUCCUCUUUUCCAUAUUAUUUCUUUCUUAAUGCCUUUGCUUGACUUUUUUUCAUGGUUUGUUCCAUGAAUGUGUUGUGCUCCUCAUGCUUUACCUCUCAACAUAACUGAAACACUUAGGAGUUGCCAUCUGUUCUGGUCAUCAUUGUCAGUUACAAGAAAGCUAAAGAAUGUAACUGCUGAUCCCCCAUUUCCUUACCGACUACACACUUACAAGAGAGAACUUGCUGUUACGAAAGCAUGAGAGUCCCUCCAUCAUCUGCCUUUGGUCAGAUUGAAAACAUAAGCUAAGACUUAUGUUUAGGAGUAGGCUGGUUUGGGUAUGGAAAAGAUCAACCCACAUGUUCUGCCAUGUGAGCCAUCAGAAUUAGAGAUUAACUUCUGAGACAGAUGAUGAGAAUGAAGAACAGUAUAUUCAGAACCCACAAGUCUGAUUGCCUAGCUUUAUUGUGUGAAUUUCUGCAGUAUCCUCCAUGAAUUACUGGUAUAAGGUUGCCAUAUAAAUUAUAGAUUCUUGAUGGUGACCAUGUCUUGAUUUUUUUUUCAUCAAAGAUGUGACUCUCUAGAAGCAAUAAACUAUAAGAGAGCUGUAUUGGUGUACCAGCAGGGAUGUCCAGCAUUAGCCAGGUGAGAUUCACAGUGGUUCACUGUAGGUCUGAGUAUAGAGACAGUAGGUAGGCAAACCGUGGCUUGGGAAAAGGAUGAGAGUUCUAACCAUGAGGACUGCCCAUCAACAGAACAGCCUGCUCCAGCCUGCUCCACCUAUGACAGUGUUAUGGGUUGAAUUAUGUUCUCAAAAAGAUAUGUUGAAGUCUGUUAAAGCAAAAUGAAAAUGAAAACGGGGCCUGAAAAAUUCCUGGGCAAACAAAACCUGGCAGGCUUUAAAAAUAGCCUUCAUCUUGCUUAAGCUGCAAACAUGAGUAAAACUUGGGUCAUUUCUGGUAGAUGCUCGUGUUAAAGAAAAAUGAAACUUAACCUCAGCCAAUCAAGAGCAGCCAACUAAAAUAUAUAAUUAUAUGAUCGAAGACUUUCCAUCAAGGUAAAACAAGACGAUUUAAAAAAACUGUAACCAGCCAAAUAAUUGCUUUGUCUUAUUUCCAUAUUCACCUGGUAAAUAUUUUCUUCUAAUGCUUCCUCAGUGGAGCACUACACCGCUUUUGGUUUGAUGCCUCCCAACUGAGGAACUGUUGUUUACACAAAUUAACUCUAAAUUUUUAUUUUGCCUCGGAUUUUUCUUUCAACAAAUCCUAACCCCGGGUACCUGUGAUCGUGACCUUAUUUGGAAACAGGGUCUUUGCAGAUGUAAUCAAGAUAGUUAUUAUGGUAGAUCCUAAUCCAAUUUGACAAGUGUCUUUAUAAGAGGAGAGAAGCACAAAGGUAGACACCGCUGACUCUGUGAAGACAGAGACAAUCUCUGAAGAUGGAGUCAGAGAUUGGAGUUAUGCUGCCACAAACCAAGGAACAUUUGGGGCUACCAGAAGCUGGAAGAGGUGAGGAAGGACCCUGGACUAGAGGCUUCAGAGACGUCAUGGCCCUGCCAACACCUGGAUUUCAAACUUAUAGCUUGCAGCCUAUGAGGGAAUUUCUGUUGUUUUAAGCCACCUGGAAUGUGGUUUGUAGUAUAGAUGGUCUCUGACUUAUGAUGGUUCAACUUACAAUUUUAUGAUUUUCUGACUUUAUGAUGGUGUGAAAGUGACACACAUUCAACAGAAUAUCAAUAAGUUACACAAGCUAUUCAACUAGUCAGCCACACAGUCACAAAGGUAAGCAACAGAUAUUCUAGAAUGCAUUGCUCCCAGAUUAUUUUGCAGGCUAUUGCAAGUGUUUGGAGCAGGUGUGAAAAUCAUAGAGUGUACUACAUACACCUAGAUGUAUAGCCUACUACACACCUAGGCUAUAUGGUAUGUAGUAACUGUUGCUGUACUGAAUAUGGUAGGCAAUUGUAACACAAUGGUAAGGAUUCAUAUAUCUAAACAUGUCUAAGCAUAGAAAAGGGACAGUAAAAAUACGGCAUUAUAAUCCUAUAGGACAACCAUCAUAUACGCAGUUCGCUGUUGACUAAAAUGGUAUUAUGUGGUGCAUGACUAUAUCAUUGCCUAGUGAGAAAAAUAAGUUGCAUAAAUAGGAAAUCCAAGAAUACCAAGGGAAAAGAAUUCCAAAUCGAUAUUAGUGGCUAGAUGAAAGACUGAUAAACAAAAAUGUUUUUCUAAAUUUUAAUAUUAAGUGUUAAAAUGUAGUUUGAAAAAGAUACUGUUCAUGGUAGCAACAUAAAUUUUAACAUACGUAGGAAUAGCCUUAGCAAGAAAGUUUAGCAUUUCUAUGAGUAAAUUUAUAAAACUCUGCCGAGAGGAACAAAGGUCUACACUAAACGAAGACACCAGGUGCUUGCUUGGGAAGAAUGAAUAAUGUGAAGAUAUUACUUCUGCCCAAUAAUGUGAAGAUAUUACUUCUGCCCAAAUAAAUCUAUAUAUUCAUGUAUUUUGAUUCAAAAACUCCACAAAUUUUUUUGAGGUAAAAAUGAUUUUUAUUCAGAAAUAAAAGAAUAAUAUUAAAU